This 76-nucleotide transfer RNA is filed under the name Acidobacteriota bacterium. Its description in RNAcentral is "Acidobacteria bacterium (groundwater metagenome) tRNA-Asn". It matches the Rfam family "tRNA". From Rfam's summary of the family: Transfer RNA (tRNA) molecules are approximately 80 nucleotides in length. Their secondary structure includes four short double-helical elements and three loops (D, anti-codon, and T loops). Lineage: Bacteria; Pseudomonadati; Acidobacteriota. The record is from RNAcentral. RNAcentral also lists the same sequence under 2 other names.
UGGGGCGGGGUGCGUCUGGUAGCACGUCGGACUGUUAAUCCGAAAGGUCCAGGUUCGAAUCCUGGCGCCCCAGCCA